GACGAACGCUGGCGGCGUGCCUAAUACAUGCAAGUAGAACCCUGAAGAGAGGAGCUUGCUCUUCUUGGAUGAGUUGCGAACGGGUGAGUAACGCGUAGGUAACCUGCCUUGUAGCGGGGGAUAACUAUUGGAAACGAUAGCUAAUACCGCAUAACAAUGGAUGACACAUGUCAUUUAUUUGAAAGGGGCAAUUGCUCCACUACAAGAUGGACCUGCGUUGUAUUAGCUAGUAGGUGAGGUAAUGGCUCACCUAGGCGACGAUACAUAGCCGACCUGAGAGGGUGAUCGGCCACACUGGGACUGAGACACGGCCCAGACUCCUACGGGAGGCAGCAGUAGGGAAUCUUCGGCAAUGGGGGCAACCCUGACCGAGCAACGCCGCGUGAGUGAAGAAGGUUUUCGGAUCGUAAAGCUCUGUUGUAAGUCAAGAACGGGUGUGAGAGUGGAAAGUUCACACUGUGACGGUAGCUUACCAGAAAGGGACGGCUAACUACGUG
RNAcentral lists this ribosomal RNA (497 nucleotides) under uncultured bacterium. RNAcentral describes it as "partial 16S ribosomal RNA". It matches the Rfam family "Bacterial small subunit ribosomal RNA", at positions 28 to 507 of the family's 1533-position model. The record is from RNAcentral.